RNAcentral lists this unclassified non-coding RNA (1060 nucleotides) under Hevea brasiliensis (rubber tree). The record is from RNAcentral. Lineage: Eukaryota; Viridiplantae; Streptophyta; Magnoliopsida; Malpighiales; Euphorbiaceae.
UUGCUUUCUUACUUGAUUCAUCAGCUUAAGCAAGUUCUAUUGUGCAGUUUAUUGUAUUCAAAGUUUAGUGUCAUCAUUAUUUUAAUUCUAUUUUAUUGAUUAAAAAUUAUAAGUUUGCUGAUUUAUUUCAUUGAUGACAUGGCAUGAAUUUAGAUCAGAAUUAUGAAUUAUCUAUUUCUGGUCCAGAUGCACUGUUAUUCACUAUCUUUUCUUCUUCCAUCAAUGCUACAGACCCACUUAACAUAACAGCAUCGGAUGUUCUGUUCAUGAAGAUCAGAAUGAUGAAUAGAUUUUUAGUGCUCUGAUAAUUCCUUGAGAAAAAAAGCGAUCCAAUUUAGUUGUUCAUAUGCUAUUCCUUUGGUGUGGCUUACGUAUUUCUAUCUGGAGAUCUGAUGUAUUGCCAUUUAUUCUUUUUUCAAGAAAAGUUGCAUCUCACUUCAGCAGACAUAACUGCUAGUUGGUACAUUGGUGAUUAAAACAUGACCUUUGAACUUCAAAGUUUUAUUCCCCCUUUAGAUGUUGAAGUAUAUGUAUGGAACUUGGUAUGUCUUAUUUCUUAUGAAUUCCGGAUCAAUCUUCAUUGCAACUUUACAUCACAUGCGGGAAUGAAACCAGUGAAGUCAUCAAAUAUUUGGAAUUUUGUGUUCAUAGAUUGCAUAAUCAGGAUCCUGGAAUUCACAAUUUUCUUCUCUCUCUGUAUGCUAAGCAGGUCAGAUUGUUCACGGAACUUCUGUUGAACAUGACUGAUUUUAAGUGAAAAACAUGAAUCGAUCCUUUUAUUUUGUUGUCUCAUAUUAUAGAUGACGUUGCAUCUUGCAUGUAUGGAUUGUUUAGAUGUGAUUUUUCCUUUUUGUUUACAAUCAGGAAGAUGAUGGUGUGCUUUUGCGUUUCGUUCAAUGCAAGUUUGGAAAAGGAAGAGAAAAUGGAUCCGUUUUCUUCCAUGAUCCCAAGUAUGCUUUGUGUCUUUGCCUCAAAUAAAAGCGAAUGCGUGCCUGUGUUUAUAUAUACAGCAUGAUGUCCAUGCAUGAAUAAGCAGUUGCUCUUGCACUGCAGGUUGGCA